This 94-nucleotide non-coding RNA is filed under the name mouse gut metagenome. RNAcentral's name for it is "SAM riboswitch (S box leader)". It matches the Rfam family "SAM riboswitch aptamer (S box leader)". From Rfam's summary of the family: The SAM riboswitch is found upstream of a number of genes which code for proteins involved in methionine or cysteine biosynthesis in Gram-positive bacteria. The record is from RNAcentral. RNAcentral also lists the same sequence under 1 other name.
CUUAUCAAGAGCGGCUGAGGGAACAGGCCCUGUGAAGCCCGACAACCUGCCAUAACGGCAAGGUGCCAAAUCCUGCGGGAAACCGGAAGAUAAG